GAUGAAGAACGUAGCAAAAUGCGAUACUUGGUGUGAAUUGCAGAAUCCCGUGAACCAUCGAGUUUUUGAACGCAAGUUGCGCCCGAAGCCUUUUGGCCGAGGGUACGUCUGCCUGGGCGUCACGCAUCGCGUCGCCCCCCACAAUUCUCCGUAAAGGGAACAUGUGUUUUGGGGGCGGAUAUUGGUCUCCCGUGCUCAUGGCGUGGUUGGCCGAAAUAGGAGUCCUUUCGAUGGACGCACGAACUAGUGGUGGUCGUAAAAACCCUCGUUUUUUGUUUCGUGCUGUUGCUCGCAAGGUAAACUCUUUAAAAACCCCAAUGUGUCGUCUCUUGACGACGCUUCGACCGCGACCCCAGGUCAGGCGGGACUACCCGCUGAGUUUAAGCAUAUCAAUAAGCGGAGGA
RNAcentral lists this unclassified non-coding RNA (404 nucleotides) under soil metagenome. Its description in RNAcentral is "partial contains 5.8S ribosomal RNA, internal transcribed spacer 2, and large subunit ribosomal RNA". The stretch from base 1 to 122 matches the Rfam family "5.8S ribosomal RNA", at positions 35 to 154 of the family's 154-position model. The record is from RNAcentral.